Molecule: ribosomal RNA, 3031 nt
Filed under: Thermodesulfobacterium commune
Lineage: Bacteria; Pseudomonadati; Thermodesulfobacteriota; Thermodesulfobacteria; Thermodesulfobacteriales; Thermodesulfobacteriaceae
Description: bacterial LSU rRNA
Rfam family: Bacterial large subunit ribosomal RNA
Source: RNAcentral
GUAGUCAAGCUACUAAGGGCUAGCGGUGGAUGCCUCGGGUGCGGGAGGCGAUGAAGGGCGUGGCAAGCUGCGAUAAGCCCCGGGGAGCCGCAAGCAGGCGUUGAUCCGGGGAUGCCCGAAUGGGGAAACCCGGCUGGGGUAAUACCCAGUCAUCCAUGGGUUAAGAGCCCAUGGAGGCGAGACCGGGGGAAGUGAAACAUCUCAGUACCCCGAGGAAAAGAAAUCAACCGAGAUUCCCUGAGUAGCGGCGAGCGAAAGGGGAGGAGCCUAAACCAGGCAGGUGUAGAAGCCCGUGGGCGUUGCCUGUCUGGGGUCGUGGGACUACACCGGAGAGGGCCACGGACCUCUCGGGGAGUUACAAAACCGCCUCUCUAGCCGAAGGCGCCUGGAAUGGCCCGCCGGAGAGGGUGAAAGCCCCGUAGGCGAAAGGGAGGCGGUCUCCCUGGGUGUAGAUCCCGAGUAGCACGGGACACGUGGAAUCCCGUGUGAAUCUGGGGGGACCACCCUCCAAGGCUAAAUACUACCCGCACACCGAUAGUGCACUAGUACCGUGAGGGAAAGGUGAAAAGAACCCCGGGAGGGGAGUGAAAUAGAACCUGAAACCGCUAGCCUACAAGCAGUCGGAGGGAAGGAGAAAUCCUUCCUGACGGCGUGCCUUUUGCAUAAUGAGCCCGGGAGUUGCCGUCAGUGGCGAGGCUAAGCCGUUGAGGCGGAGCCGUAGCGAAAGCGAGUCCGAAUAGGGCGUUAAGUCGCUGGCGGCAGACCCGAAGCGGGACGAUCUACCCAUGGCCAGGGUGAAGGUGGGUUAAUCCCCACUGGAGGCCCGAACCGGUGGAGGGUUAAAACUCCUCGGAUGAGCUGUGGGUAGGAGUGAAAAGCUAAUCGAGUCCCGUGAUAGCUGGUUCUCCCCGAAAUGCAUUGAGGUGCAGCCUCGAGUGGUCGCUGCCGGGGGUAGAGCACUGUUUGGGCUAGGGGGCUUACCAGCCUACCGAACCCAGGCAAACUCCGAAUACCGGCAAGCGCAGCUCGGGAGUGAGUCUUAGGGCGAUAACGUCCUAGGACGAGAGGGCAAGAACCCAGACCGCCAGCUAAGGCCCCUAAGUCCUGGCUAAGUGGUAAAGGAGGUGCCCCUGCUAAGACACCCAGGAUGUUGGCUUAGAAGCAGCCAUCAUUUAAAGAGUGCGUAACAGCUCACUGGGCGAGCGGGGGUGCGCCGAAAAUUACACGGGGCUUAAGCCAGGCGCCGAAGCUGCGGGCUGAAAGGCUUUGAGCCUUUCAGCGGUAGGGGAGCACUCUAGUUGCCGAUGAAGGUAGCUCGUAAGGGCUACUGGAGGUGCUGGAGGAGAGAAUCCGGGCACGAGUAGCGAUAAGGAGGGUGAGAAUCCCUCCCGCCGUAAGCCCAAGGUUUCCUGGGGAAGGGUCGUCCGCCCAGGGUUAGCCGGCCCCUAACCUGAGGCCGAAAGGCGUAGGGGAUGGGAAGAGGGGUUAAUAUUCCCCCGCCACCAGAGUGGAGGCCAAGGGGUGACGCAGAAGGGAAGGGCUCCGGGGCUGUAUGGUUGGCCCUCCAAACCUCUAGCCCGAUGAUGGACCGAGGCAAAUCCCGGUCCGGAGGGUGAGGGGGAGUAAGUAACCGAGAGCUACGGCUCUCGGGAAGGAGCUCGGACCACGCUGCCAAGAAAUAGCCUCGUGGCCGUUGAAGCUCUGGUGACCGUACCGCAAACCGACACAGGUGGGCGGGCAGUAAUCUGCCAAGGCGCGUGGGGCAACCCUGGCUAAGGAACUCGGCAAAUUGGCCCCGUAACUUCGGGAGAAGGGGUGCCCGCGUUAGGUGUAGGCCCUUGCGGUCGAAGCCGAGGCGGGUUGCAGGGAAACGGCGGUGGCGACUGUUUACCAAAAACACAGGGCUCUGCUAACUCGUAAGAGGACGUAUAGGGCCCGACGCCUGCCCGGUGCUGGAAGGUGAAGGGGUGGGGUUAGCGGAGAUUAAUUCCGCGAAGCUCUGCCCUUAAGCCCCAGUAAACGGCGGCCGUAACUAUAACGGUCCUAAGGUAGCGAAAUUCCUUGUCGGGUAAGUUCCGACCUGCAUGAAUGGCGUAACGACUGCCGCGCUGUCUCGGCCAGGGGCCCAGCGAAACUGUAGUCUCGGCGAAGAUGCCGAGUACCCGCGGUGGGACGGAAAGACCCCGUGGAGCUUUACUGCAGCUUGGCAUUGAACCUUGGGGUAGGAUGUGCAGGAUAGGUGGGAGGCUGUGAAGCAGGGGCGCCAGCUCCUGUGGAGCCACCGGUGAGAUACCACCCUUCCUGCCUCAGGGUUCUAACCUGCGGAAGAAAGCCUUCCGAGGGACAGUGCCUGGCGGGCAGUUUGACUGGGGCGGUCGCCUCCUAAAGAGUAACGGAGGCGCCCAAAGGUCCCCUCAGGUGGUAUAGAAAUCCACCGUUGAGUGUAAGGGCAUAAGGGGGCUUGACUGCGAGGCCGAUAGGCCGAGCAGGGGGGAAACCCGGGCCUAGUGACCCGGCGGUCCUGAGUGGAAGGGCCGUCGAUCAUCGGAUAAAAGUUACCCCGGGGAUAACAGGCUGAUCGCUCCCAAGAGUUCACAUCGACGGAGCGGUUUGGCACCUCGAUGUCGGCUCAUCCCAUCCUGGGGCUGGAGAAGGUCCCAAGGGUCGGGCUGUUCGCCCGUUAAAGGGGUACGUGAGCUGGGUUCAGAACGUCGUGAGACAGUUCGGUCCCUAUCCACCGCGGGCGCAGGAGGCUUGAGGGGAGCUGCCCCUAGUACGAGAGGACCGGGGUGGACGCACCUCUGGUGUCCCGGUUGUUCCACCAGGAGCAGAGCCGGGUAGCCAUGUGCGGAAGGGAUAACCGCUGAAAGCAUCUAAGCGGGAAGCCCACCCCAAGAUUAGGCCUCCCGAGGGUGGGGCAACCCACCCCCUGAAGGGCCCAGGGAGACUACCUGGUUGAUAGGCCAGAGGUGGAAGCCCAGCAAUGGGUGGAGCCUACUGGUACUAAUCGCCCGUGCGGCUUGGCUGCAGU